AUGAACGCUGGCGGCGUGCCUAAUACAUGCAGGUCGAGCGAACAGACGAGGAGCUUGCUCCUCUGACGUUAGCGGCGGACGGGUGAGUAACACGUGGAUAACCUACCUAUAAGACUGGGAUAACUUCGGGAAACCGGAGCUAAUACCGGAUAAUAUAUUGAACCGCAUGGUUCAAUAGUGAAAGACGGUUUUGCUGUCACUUAUAGAUGGAUCCGCGCCGCAUUAGCUAGUUGGUAAGGUAACGGCUUACCAAGGCGACGAUGCGUAGCCGACCUGAGAGGGUGAUCGGCCACACUGGAACUGAGACAAGGUCCAGACUCCUACGGGAGGCAGCAGUAGGGAAUCUUCCGCAAUGGGCGAAAGCCUGACGGAGCAACGCCGCGUGAGUGAUGAAGGUCUUCGGAUCGUAAAACUCUGUUAUUAGGGAAGAACAAAUGUGUAAGUAACUAUGCACGUCUUGACGGUACCUAAUCAGAAAGCCACGGCUAACUACGUG
RNAcentral lists this ribosomal RNA (496 nucleotides) under uncultured bacterium. Its description in RNAcentral is "partial 16S ribosomal RNA". It matches the Rfam family "Bacterial small subunit ribosomal RNA", at positions 29 to 507 of the family's 1533-position model. The record is from RNAcentral.